CCCCGAUGGGCAGUACUACAGCUCGGAGAGAAUCACACGAGUCCUUCAGAUAGCAACUGGAGUAACUCCUGCACUUGACUGCACUGUUGAUAAGUUUGGCAAAUAUCAGCUCUACCAAGUYAUGUUUUGCGUGGAUAAAUCUGGGUCUGAAUUCAUGGAUUGCCCCGUCUACCCUGAGCCCACCUGUCCUUCGAUCAUUAGGUUUCCACCUUUCAGAGGAUCAGCCGCUGAAGGGAUCUACC
Molecule: non-coding RNA, 242 nt
Organism: Nelumbo nucifera (sacred lotus)
Lineage: Eukaryota; Viridiplantae; Streptophyta; Magnoliopsida; Proteales; Nelumbonaceae
Source: RefSeq, a predicted model, not a curated record